Molecule: ribosomal RNA, 502 nt
Filed under: Raoultella sp.
Lineage: Bacteria; Pseudomonadati; Pseudomonadota; Gammaproteobacteria; Enterobacterales; Enterobacteriaceae
Description: bacterial SSU rRNA
Rfam family: Bacterial small subunit ribosomal RNA
Source: RNAcentral
AGAGCUUGCUCUCGGGUGACGAGCGGCGGACGGGUGAGUAAUGUCUGGGAAACUGCCUGAUGGAGGGGGAUAACUACUGGAAACGGUAGCUAAUACCGCAUAACGUCGCAAGACCAAAGUGGGGGACCUUCGGGCCUCAUGCCAUCAGAUGUGCCCAGAUGGGAUUAGCUAGUAGGUGGGGUAAUGGCUCACCUAGGCGACGAUCCCUAGCUGGUCUGAGAGGAUGACCAGCCACACUGGAACUGAGACACGGUCCAGACUCCUACGGGAGGCAGCAGUGGGGAAUAUUGCACAAUGGGCGCAAGCCUGAUGCAGCCAUGCCGCGUGUAUGAAGAAGGCCUUCGGGUUGUAAAGUACUUUCAGCGAGGAGGAAGGCGUUAAGGUUAAUAACCUUGGCGAUUGACGUUACUCGCAGAAGAAGCACCGGCUAACUCCGUGCCAGCAGCCGCGGUAAUACGGAGGGUGCAAGCGUUAAUCGGAAUUACUGGGCGUAAAGCGCACG